RNAcentral lists this ribosomal RNA (114 nucleotides) under uncultured bacterium. Its description in RNAcentral is "partial 16S ribosomal RNA". It matches the Rfam family "Bacterial small subunit ribosomal RNA", at positions 1373 to 1482 of the family's 1533-position model. The record is from RNAcentral.
CUCGGGCCUUGUACCACACCGCCCGUCACACCACGAAACGUCGGCAAUACCCGAAGCCGGUGGCCCAACCCGCAAGGGAGGGAGCCGUCGAAGGUAGGGUCGAUGAUUGGGGUG